This 403-nucleotide ribosomal RNA is filed under the name uncultured bacterium. RNAcentral's name for it is "bacterial SSU rRNA". It matches the Rfam family "Bacterial small subunit ribosomal RNA", at positions 356 to 773 of the family's 1533-position model. The record is from RNAcentral.
AGGGAAUAUUGCACAAUGGAGGAAACUCUGAUGCAGCGACGCCGCGUGAGUGAUGAAGGCCUUCGGGUCGUAAAGCUCUGUCGCAGGGGAAUAACACAAUGAAGGUACCCUGUAAGAAAGGAUCGGCUAACUUCGUGCCAGCAGCCGCGGUAAGACGAGGGAUCCUAGCGUUGUUCGGAAUCAUUGGGCGUAAAGCGGGUGUAGGUGGCUUUGUAAGUCGAGUGUGAAAGCCUGGGGCUCAACCCCAGAAGUGCAUUCGAUACUGCGAAGCUUGAGUGGUAGAGAGGUUAGUAGAAUUGUUGGUGUAGUGGUGAAAUACGUAGAUAUCAACAGGAGUACCGGAGGCGAAGGCGGCUAACUGGCUACACACUGACACUCAGACCCGAAAGUGCGGGGAUCAAAC